AUGGAGAGAUUGGCAUCAGUCGAUUCCCCUGGUGAAGUAGAGUUUAACUAUGGGAUAGCUUUGGAAACUUUAAACCGAUUGAUGGAGUGCAGCCGCUCAACUACUCCUGACUCCGAACAAUAUCUGACGGUUAAUGACAACUCGUCGUUCUACACUGACUCAGAUGACUCUGAUAGCUCUUAUGAUGGUAACCAACGGAGAAAAAAGAAGUCUGGUUGGAGCGAUGAGACUGUUAAUUCAGGCAAGAAGAUCUUCCAACUUCUCUGCCUUCUGCUCCCACCAAAAAAUCGGGCCCAACUUAAACUUUUACUUUUACUCAUGUCUCGUUUGAUGGCCUCUCCUCAUUCUCAGGUACUGUAUGAGCUAAGCCAAGGUGUAAUGCGAGAAAAUAAUUUAAACAAACAAAAUGAUCUUGCAUUUUUCGUUGUUUGUUUCCUACUGGAUCAUAAAGAUAUAUUAUUUAAACCACCUCUGGACUUCGUCAACGAAAUUCGCUCGAAAGCCAGGAAGUGCCUCAAUUCGUCCAGAAAGAACCAUGCAUACUGUGAACGGGUAAGUACAGAGGAAUUUGAACAACAAAGAUUCACUGGCUCUCAACGUGCUCUGGCUGAACUCCUGGAUCAAAUUCUCCAUGAUCAGAAGAUGAACUCAAAAGAAAAGAAGAGGAAAUUGAAAAUGUUUCAGGAAGCCUACCCGGAAAUAUACAGUCUCAAGUGCCCGCUAGAGACAGAAUCAAAGUCGAAGUCUACUAUGAUGGGAAAUUUCCUUCCUUAAGCAAGUUGAAGCAGCUUCGCAUUUAAACUUCUCUCGGCAGUAGCAAUUCUCUUCGUAAUUGUAAGGUGCUCAGAAAUCCCUCCUUCGUUAUUUCUAUCUCUUAUUAGCAGGUACUGACUAGUGUUUAUUAGUAAAAGUUUAAAAAUAGAAUGAAAUUAGAGAUAAGAUAUUUAUAAAAACUGUUUUCCCCUUCAGAUAGAUUAUGUUUAUUUCUACCCCUAAAAGACUUAUCCUCACUUCUCAUGUUUCUUUUGGAGUGUGCCAUCUUUUUUUUAUUUCUUUCUUUCAAUAAAUAGUUACUUUUGUACCUUGACUAAAUAGAGGCUAAAUUCUUUUCCUUUAACUUGCACACUUGAAAUUUGAAUUUUGUCUUGCAAAAACCGCUGUUGUCCAUUUUUCCAUCCUUGAGAUAUUUUGAGUUUAUAAUACUUCCCGAAGUAAGAUAAAACCUUGAAAGUUGUCUAAAUACUCGUUUUGGGGUUGACUCAUUCCCGAAAAGCGUGAUUGUAACUCAACUUACUACAUGAUUGUAUCUUAACUCUUGAAACGAAUUAUCAACUCAAAAAAGAAGGAAGCUAGAAAAAUAGACUUAAGCGGUUUGUGGAGGACACUUUCCAAUUGAUCCUUGAUCAGUAGAAAUUAUUGAUGGUGAAACUAAAACGGCAAUACUGUAUAGAUAAGUGUUCUCUAUUUCCUCCUAUGACUUCACUGUUCUGAGAAAUCACACUGAUGAGUUUGCAUGAGCUCUCAAACAAGAACAAAUGAGUAAGAAAUUCUGGCAAAAAAAACCGGCAGUGAGUGUACAGAUGGCGAUGCUCACACCACAAAUUAGCAAUUUUGUUGGUUGGCAGAAAAGUGCUCGUUUCAAGUUUCACCAUUAAUAGAAUAUAUUAAAUGCUCAUUAGAUGACCCGAUAGGAACAUCAUUGAUAGAAUAACAUUAAAUGUUGUUCAGAUGACCCAAUAUGAGAAUAUUGUCAUGUCCAUGGUCUCAGUGCAAAACGAUGUGUCUUCAUUUGUUACGUUGCUGACAUCCUGUCAUACUAUUAUUGACUUUGGAAAAUGAGUUUUCAUUAUUUCUUGAAAACUUCCUUGAUUUACCUCCUCUGUAAGCAGAAUAUUGUGUGUAGAUUUGGCGCUAUAAAGUUGGCUUGUUUCUCUUUGAAGAAAUAAAAUUGGAGUGGAAAUUUUGAGACACGGAAUUUCAAGAAAUUUUGCAAUGGAGAUAAAUGGUUUUGUACUUUGGCCAUUGAUGUGUGAAAGGUUAUAUUGCUUCAAAGGCGUUUCUUAUUUUGCCUCAGGAACAGCCUAAAGAAAUUAAAAGAAAAUCUCCCUGGGAAGCGUAUUUUGAUAAAUGAUCAUCCUUCAAUUGGUAUAUUCAGCUCUAUCUAAUAACUUUCCUUUGCAAGAGUCGGCACCCUUGGAUUUCACUCAAGGUAAUAAAAAUGAAAUUAUGAAACAAAGUUUUUCACAACUAUAUGAAUUUAUUGAUCUAACGCUGUACAGAAAACUUAAGAAAAAGAAAAAUCAAUGAGCUUUCAUCAUUUAACUGGGCCAAUUCCUCGUCCUAACCUCUAGAUAGUAGUACAAAACAAGAUGUGAAAAAUGUUCAACCAUUACACGAUAAUACAAAAUUCCAAAAUCACUUGGACAUGCCUGAAUUAAGUUUUGGUAAGGAUAGUUGUAGAGAGAAAUUCCUUUGUAAUUUUUAUACGGUUUUUAAAUUGAGUUCGUGUUCUCACCAGGGUUGGGCUCUAAAAAUAACAUUAAAAUUACAUCUACUGAUUUAAAUGUCUAAAAUUAGAUAAAAUUAGAUUCAAAGAAAUAAUUUCUAUGCCAGGAAAAGCCAUUUGACGGCCAUCGC
Molecule: long non-coding RNA, 2637 nt
Filed under: Bemisia tabaci
Lineage: Eukaryota; Metazoa; Arthropoda; Insecta; Hemiptera; Aleyrodidae
Description: lncRNA ENSSSA2NGG004496
Source: RNAcentral